Poronia punctata is the source of this 74-nucleotide non-coding RNA. The record is from the annotation of a GenBank genome assembly. Lineage: Eukaryota; Fungi; Ascomycota; Sordariomycetes; Xylariales; Xylariaceae.
GGUCGUGUGGCGUAGUGGUUAUUACGCCUGGUAGUGCUUUUUUAAGCACGCAGGUUCGAUUCCUGCGGCGACCA